CAGAGGAGAGAUGCCAGUAGCUGACAAAGCCCAGGGCAGCCAUUCAUGACAGAUAAAGGAAAAGUGUGCCAGUCCCUGGCCUAGAAAGACCCACGCAUUUCUGGGAACUUGGUGUGCGAUUCAGGAGAAAGGAGGGACUUUCCAAUAAAUGCCGCUCAGACGCUCGCUCUCCUGUGGGAAUGAAAUGAAAAUGAGAUUCUUACGUCACCCCAUAAGCAGAUUCCCGGUGGAUUAAGAUGCAAACGUGAGCAGCAGAACUUCAUAACCCUACGAAGGUGCAGCUGGCUCACCUUUGCCGCCCUCACCGUGGUUAGACAUGAUCACGUGACUAGGUCCCGCCCAGUGUGUGGUGAGUAAAGGGGACAGGUGUCACCGCACACUCUUCCAGCCUCUCCCCUUCUCGGGGACCGUGGGAGCCAGGUGAGGCCCCGAGAUUUCACACUUGCUGUGGGUCUUGUCAACCCCGAGAAAGAAGACGCCUACCAGGAAGGUCUCCUCGGGGCUAACUGGGCUCAGAUUUAAAAGCGGAACCUGGCAGCCGAGUUAACAGGAAGCCACACAAAGGGGAGGGGCCUCCCCCCAGCGGCCAGCCUCUGCCUGCACCCGGCUCCUGGCCGCUGAGCCAGCCCCUAUACAGGAGAUCCUGGAGUCCUCUCUGAACCAACAGGACUGAGAUGCCCCCCGUCCAGUCAAAGCUGCACAGCAGUAUCCUCAUGAGCAUCUUCAUUGGCCAAAGUGGUUCCAUUCCAGCCCCUCAGGACAGUGCUUUUGGGACCAAUCAAACGGUGAGAAUUUAGAGUCCUCAUUUGCAUGAGGGUGAACCAAUCAGGGACUGGGACGGGGACUUCUGUCUAUAUAAGUCAGGCUCAUGGCACACAUUCCCUUCCCCAUCCUGAUGGACAUCGCCUCUCACUGCACCCCAAGUGGGGAUUCCUGUUGGUGUUGACGGUGCCAGGGAUCCACGGGUUGACAGCCUGGACUGAGGACUAAUUUGAGGGGAAUGAAUUGCAUUUGUUUCAUCCACAACAUGGGGCAGCUACCAGCCUGCGGUCUCUCUGAGACUCCCUGCUCCAGGUGUUCUGGGCGAUGCUGGGUGCUCGGAACCCGGACGUGAGGCUGCCUGAGCCCCAGCCUGCGGCUCACGCUCUCGGGAGAGAACGUCGUCCUCCGGAGGCUGAGGCCCGUGAGCUUUCCUGCCGCUCCUCUUGUCAGUCUUACUCACACGUGGAGGAUGCGAUGGCUGAUUCUACGUGUCAACUUGGCUGCCAUCAGGCAUCAGCGUUCCCUCGGGUUCAGGACACAGGCCGGGACUUACACCGCUGGUGCCCCGUGCUCAGGCCUUCAGACUGGCACUGGGUUGCCCCUGGUUUCCCUGCUUGUCCUGGCAGGCCACAGGACUCCGCCAUCUCCUUAA
Molecule: long non-coding RNA, 1414 nt
Organism: Myotis davidii
Lineage: Eukaryota; Metazoa; Chordata; Mammalia; Chiroptera; Vespertilionidae
Exons: 3
Source: RefSeq, a predicted model, not a curated record